Tachyglossus aculeatus (Australian echidna) is the source of this 169-nucleotide small nuclear RNA. RefSeq annotates it as U1 spliceosomal RNA. Lineage: Eukaryota; Metazoa; Chordata; Mammalia; Monotremata; Tachyglossidae. The record is from RefSeq and is a predicted model, not a curated record. The transcript has a single exon.
AUAAAAGAGGGGAUUCCCAAAGAGCCUUCACCCCACUUACACAAUAUUGUACCAGGGUGAGGUUUGUUCAUUGCCCUCUGGGUGUGUUGACCCCUGCGAUUUCCCCAAAUAUGAGAAACUCAACCUCUUAAUUUGUGGUAGUGGGGCACUGUGUUUACACUCUUCUCUG